UCUUUCUGUCAAAACCAUCUUCCAGGGAGA
This 30-nucleotide non-coding RNA is filed under the name Mus musculus (house mouse). The record is from RNAcentral. Lineage: Eukaryota; Metazoa; Chordata; Mammalia; Rodentia; Muridae.